UACGUAGGGCGCAAGCGUUAUCCGGAAUUAUUGGGCGUAAAGAGCUCGUAGGCGGUGUGUCGCGUCGGCCGUGAAAACCUGCAGCUUAACUGUGGGCUUGCGGUCGAUACGGGCAUCACUGGAGUUCGGCAGGGGAGACUGGAAUUCCUGGUGUAGCGGUGAAAUGCGCAGAUAUCAGAAGGAACACCGGUGGCGAAGGCGGGUCUCUGGGCCGAUACUGACGCUGAGGAGCGAAAGCGUGGGGAGCGAACAGG
Molecule: ribosomal RNA, 254 nt
Filed under: uncultured bacterium
Lineage: Bacteria
Description: partial 16S ribosomal RNA
Rfam family: Bacterial small subunit ribosomal RNA
Source: RNAcentral